This 400-nucleotide ribosomal RNA is filed under the name uncultured bacterium. RNAcentral's name for it is "bacterial SSU rRNA". It matches the Rfam family "Bacterial small subunit ribosomal RNA", at positions 355 to 767 of the family's 1533-position model. The record is from RNAcentral.
UGGGGAAUAUUGCACAAUGGGCGCAAGCCUGAUGCAGCAACGCCGCGUGAGGGAUGAAGGCCUUCGGGUUGUAAACCUCUUUUAGCAGGGAAGAAGCGAAAGUGACGGUACCUGCAGAAAAAGCACCGGCUAACUACGUGCCAGCAGCCGCGGUAAUACGUAGGGUGCAAGCGUUGUCCGGAAUUAUUGGGCGUAAAGAGCUCGUAGGCGGUUUGUCACGUCUGCUGUGAAAAUCCAAGGCUCAACCUUGGACUUGCAGUGGGUACGGGCAGGCUAGAGUGCGGUAGGGGAGAUGGGAAUUCCUGGUGUAGCGGUGGAAUGCGCAGAUAUCAGGAGGAACACCAAUGGCGAAGGCACAUCUCUGGGCCGUAACUGACGCUGAGGAGCGAAAGCGUGGGGA